AAAUUGAAGAGUUUGAUCAUGGCUCAGAUUGAACGCUGGCGGCAGGCCUAACACAUGCAAGUCGAACGGUAACAGGAAGCAGCUUGCUGCUUCGCUGACGAGUGGCGGACGGGUGAGUAAUGUCUGGGAAACUGCCUGAUGGAGGGGGAUAACUACUGGAAACGGUGGCUAAUACCGCAUAACGUCGCAAGACCAAAGAGGGGGACCUUCGGGCCUCUUGCCAUCAGAUGUGCCCAGAUGGGAUUAGCUGGUUGGUGAGGUAACGGCUCACCAAGGCGACGAUCCCUAGCUGGUCUGAGAGGAUGACCAGCCACACUGGAACUGAGACACGGUCCAGACUCCUACGGGAGGCAGCAGUGGGGAAUAUUGCACAAUGGGCGCAAGCCUGAUGCAGCCAUGCCGCGUGUAUGAAGAAGGCCUUCGGGUUGUAAAGUACUUUCAGCGGGGAGGAAGGUGUUGUGGUUAAUAACUGCAGCAAUUGACGUUACCCGCAGAAGAAGCACCGGCUAACUCCGUGCCAGCAGCCGCGGUAAUACGGAGGGUGCAAGCGUUAAUCGGAAUUACUGGGCGUAAAGCGCACGCAGGCGGUCUG
RNAcentral lists this ribosomal RNA (592 nucleotides) under Salmonella enterica subsp. enterica serovar Kentucky. RNAcentral's name for it is "bacterial SSU rRNA". It matches the Rfam family "Bacterial small subunit ribosomal RNA", at positions 1 to 582 of the family's 1533-position model. The record is from RNAcentral. Lineage: Bacteria; Pseudomonadati; Pseudomonadota; Gammaproteobacteria; Enterobacterales; Enterobacteriaceae.